GUGAGUAGUUCAGAGUUUGAUCCUGGCUCAGGACGAACGCUGGCGGCGUGCUUAACACAUGCAAGUCGAACGGGGAUAUUUAGAAUGAGAGCUUCGGCAGGAUUUUUGAAUAUUCGAGUGGCGGACGGGUGAGUAACGCGUGAGCAACCUGUCCCAGACAGGGGGAUAACACUUGGAAACAGGUGCUAAUACCGCAUAAGACCACGGGGUCGCAUGGCCUUGAGGUAAAAGGAGCAAUCCGGUUUGGGGUGGGCUCGCGUCCGAUUAGAUAGUUGGUGAGGUAACGGCCCACCAAGUCGACGAUCGGUAGCCGACCUGAGAGGGUGAUCGGCCACAUUGGAACUGAGAGACGGUCCAA
RNAcentral lists this ribosomal RNA (358 nucleotides) under uncultured bacterium. RNAcentral's name for it is "bacterial SSU rRNA". It matches the Rfam family "Bacterial small subunit ribosomal RNA", at positions 1 to 334 of the family's 1533-position model. The record is from RNAcentral.